AUUUAAAUACAUCUUAUGUUGAGGUUCAAC
Non-coding RNA from Clostridium autoethanogenum DSM 10061, 30 nucleotides. The record is from Rfam. Lineage: Bacteria; Bacillati; Bacillota; Clostridia; Eubacteriales; Clostridiaceae.